Long non-coding RNA from Rhipicephalus sanguineus (brown dog tick), 302 nucleotides. RefSeq lists it as uncharacterized. NCBI's taxonomy places the organism in Eukaryota, Metazoa, Arthropoda, Arachnida, Ixodida, Ixodidae. The transcript is spliced from 3 exons. The record is from RefSeq and is a predicted model, not a curated record.
UACGCUCGAUCAUAUUCCUUGGGAAGCAAGUUCAUGAAAAAAGACAAUCAGAAUGAACAAUGCAACCGCAUACUUCAUCGUUUUUGCCCUCUUCAUUAUGAGCUCUCGUUGGCAGCCUUCGAGCAAGGUCGAAGCGGGAAGGAUUAUAUUCGGCCCAAAAAAUUGCUGGAGAGGAACUUGCCCCCACGACUGUCAUCCACCUUGUGAGUGCCCCAGCCCUUUUGAGUGGUUUUUUGGAAUCAGGAAUUGUCGUUGAUGGAAUUCCUCUAUAAGCAGUAGUUUUUUUUUAUGAAUAAAUGUUG